UACGUAGGGUGCGAGCGUUGUCCGGAAUUACUGGGCGUAAAGCGCUCGUAGGUGGUUUGUCGCGUUGUUCGUGAAAACUCACAGCUCAACUGUGGGCGUGCGGGCGAUACGGGCAGACUGGAGUACUGCAGGGGAGACUGGAAUUCCUGGUGUAGCGGUGGAAUGCGCAGAUAUCAGGAGGAACACCGGUGGCGAAGGCGGGUCUCUGGGCAGUAACUGACGCUGGGGAGCGAAAGCGUGGGGAGCGAACAGG
Molecule: ribosomal RNA, 253 nt
Filed under: uncultured bacterium
Lineage: Bacteria
Description: partial 16S ribosomal RNA
Rfam family: Bacterial small subunit ribosomal RNA
Source: RNAcentral